UACGUAGGGGGCAAGCGUUGUCCGGAUUUAUUGGGCGUAAAGAGCGUGUAGGCGGCUAGACAAGUCUGCUGUGAAAACUUGAGGCUCAACCUCAAGCUGUCGGCGGAAACUGUUUGGCUAGAGUCCGGAAGAGGAGAGUGGAAUUCCUGGUGUAGCGGUGAAAUGCGCAGAUAUCAGGAAGAACACCUAUGGCGAAGGCAGCUCUCUGGGACGGUACUGACGCUGAGACGCGAAAGCGUGGGGAGCGAACAGG
Molecule: ribosomal RNA, 253 nt
Filed under: uncultured bacterium
Lineage: Bacteria
Description: partial 16S ribosomal RNA
Rfam family: Bacterial small subunit ribosomal RNA
Source: RNAcentral